Molecule: transfer RNA, 67 nt
Filed under: Marmota monax (woodchuck)
Lineage: Eukaryota; Metazoa; Chordata; Mammalia; Rodentia; Sciuridae
Description: tRNA.Ala
Rfam family: tRNA
About the family: Transfer RNA (tRNA) molecules are approximately 80 nucleotides in length.
Source: RNAcentral
GGUUGUGGCUUAGUGGUAAAGGGCUUGCCUAGCAUGCAUGAGGCACUGGGUUCGAUCCCCAGCACCA